RNAcentral lists this ribosomal RNA (390 nucleotides) under uncultured bacterium. Its description in RNAcentral is "bacterial SSU rRNA". It matches the Rfam family "Bacterial small subunit ribosomal RNA", at positions 29 to 410 of the family's 1533-position model. The record is from RNAcentral.
AAUGAACGCUGGCGGCGCGCCUAAUACAUGCAAGUCGAGCGAGAAGACGUAGCAAUACGUUUGUAAAGCGGCGAACGGGUGAGGAAUACAUGGGUAACCUACCCUCGAGUGGGGAAUAACUAGCCGAAAGGUUAGCUAAUACCGCGUACGCUCCUUGGACUUCGGUUCAGGGAGGAAAGCGAUACCGUGGGUAUCGCGCUCUUGGUUGGGCUCAUGUCCUAUCAGCUUGUUGGUGAGGAACGGCUCACCAAGGCUUCGACGGGUAGCUGGUCUGAGAGGACGAUCAGCCACACUGGCACUGCGACACGGGCCAGACUCCUACGGGAGGCAGCAGUAAGGAAUAUUGCGCAAUGGGCGAAAGCCUGACGCAGCGACGCCGCGUGGGGGAUG